RNAcentral lists this ribosomal RNA (370 nucleotides) under unidentified archaeon. Its description in RNAcentral is "bacterial SSU rRNA". It matches the Rfam family "Archaeal small subunit ribosomal RNA", at positions 90 to 462 of the family's 1478-position model. The record is from RNAcentral.
UCAGUAACACGUAGUCAACAUGCCCAGGGGACGUGGAUAACCUCGGGAAACUGAGGAUAAACCGCGAUAAGUCACUACUUCUGGAAUGGGUAAUGACUUAAAUCUAUAUGGCCCCUGGAUUGGACUGCGGCCGAUCAGGCUGUUGGUGAGGUAAUGGCCCACCAAACCUGUAACCGGUACGGGCUCUGAGGGGAGGAGCCCGGAGAUGGGCACUGAGACAAGGGCCCAGGCCCUAUGGGGCGCAGCAGGCGCGAAACCUCUGCAAUAGGCGAAAGCCUGACAGGGUUACUCUGAGUGAUUUCCGUUAAGGAGAUCUUUUGGCACCUCUAAAAAUGGUGCAGAAUAAGGGGUGGGCAAGUCUGGUGCCAGC